UACGUAGGGUGCAAGCGUUAAUCGGAAUUACUGGGCGUAAAGCGUGCGCAGGCGGUCUGCUAAGAGAGAUGUGAAAUCCCCAGGCUUAACCUGGGAACUGCGUGUGAUACUGGAUGGCUUGAAUCCGGGAGAGGGAUGCAGAAUUCCAGGUGUAGCGGUGAAAUGCGUAGAUAUCUGGAGGAAUACCGGUGGCGAAGGCGGCAUCCUGGACCGGCAUUGACGCUGAUGAGCGAAAGCUAGGGGAGCAAACGGG
RNAcentral lists this ribosomal RNA (253 nucleotides) under uncultured bacterium. Its description in RNAcentral is "partial 16S ribosomal RNA". It matches the Rfam family "Bacterial small subunit ribosomal RNA", at positions 524 to 776 of the family's 1533-position model. The record is from RNAcentral.